GGACUACAGGGGUUUCUAAUCCCGUUUGCUCCCCUGGCUUUCGCGCCUCAGCGUCAGAAACCGGCCAGGAAGGCGCCUUCGCCAUUGGUGUUCUUCCCGAUAUCUACGCAUUUCACUGCUACACCGGGAAUUCCCCUUCCCUCUCCGAUCCUCGAGCCUCGCAGUAUCAGCUGCCCUGCUUCGGUUGAGCCGACGCCUUUCACAGCUGACUGACGAAACCGCCUACACGCCCUUUACGCCCAGUAAAUCCGGACAACGCUCGCCACCUCUGUCUUACCGCGGCUGCUGGCAC
RNAcentral lists this ribosomal RNA (292 nucleotides) under uncultured bacterium. Its description in RNAcentral is "partial 16S ribosomal RNA". The record is from RNAcentral.